Non-coding RNA from Misgurnus anguillicaudatus (oriental weatherfish), 651 nucleotides. NCBI's taxonomy places the organism in Eukaryota, Metazoa, Chordata, Actinopteri, Cypriniformes, Cobitidae. The record is from the annotation of a RefSeq genome assembly.
AUGGAAAAGAAUGUGCAGUCUAUUAGCUCUGUAGCAUGCGAUGAGGCCGAGAGGGAGAUUGUUGUGAUCCAGAAAGACCUUAAAGCCACGAGGGUCACCCUUGCCAUCCAUUUUGUAUCACUGUGGUUCACAUUCGGCAGCGGCACCAGACUGGAUGUUGGCAGUAACAGUCCCCCUAAAGUGAUCGUCCUGCCGCCGUCCAGUGAAGAGAUUUCCAGAAAGCAAGCAGCAACACUGAUGUGUGUGGCCAACAAGGGCUUCCCCUCAGACUGGAGUCUGAACUGGAAGGUGGACGGGAUCAGCAGCAGGUCUCAGUACAGCAGUGUUGCUCUCCUGGAGAAGGACGGUCUGUACAGCUGGAGCAGCAGUCUGACUCUCUCUGAGCAGGAGUGGAGCUCAGUGAUCUCAGUCAGCUGUGAGCUCACACAGAAAGACCAGCGUGAUAAAGUCACUGGAGAAUUGAGGAGAGAUCAGUGUUCACAGUAGAUCCACUCACUCUCUCCUCUGUCUCACAUCAAGACUAACAGACUAACUGUGUUUCUCUCUCUCAUCUCACAUCUCUUUUCACAAACAACACAAGUCUAUGUCUGCUUUAUUCAUUCACUCAUGAUUGUGUGACAAUUCAUCAAAUAAAAUCAUAUUCUAUCUUUA